RNAcentral lists this ribosomal RNA (253 nucleotides) under uncultured bacterium. Its description in RNAcentral is "partial 16S ribosomal RNA". It matches the Rfam family "Bacterial small subunit ribosomal RNA", at positions 524 to 776 of the family's 1533-position model. The record is from RNAcentral.
UACGUAGGGGGCAAGCGUUGUCCGGAAUUAUUGGGCGUAAAGAGCGCGUAGGCGGUCCGAUAAGUCGGCUGUGAAAGUCAGGGGCUCAACCCUUGGAAGCCGGCCGAUACUGUCGGACUAGAGUCCGGAAGAGGCGAGUGGAAUUCCCGGUGUAGCGGUGAAAUGCGCAGAUAUCGGGAGGAACACCAAUGGCGAAGGCAGCUCGCUGGGACGGUACUGACGCUGAGGCACGAAAGCGUGGGGAGCAAACAGG